Molecule: ribosomal RNA, 479 nt
Filed under: uncultured bacterium
Lineage: Bacteria
Description: bacterial SSU rRNA
Rfam family: Bacterial small subunit ribosomal RNA
Source: RNAcentral
UGGGGAAUAUUGGACAAUGGGCGAAAGCCUGAUCCAGCAAUGCCGCGUGUGUGAAGAAGGUCUUCGGAUUGUAAAGCACUUUCGGCGGGGACGAUGAUGACGGUACCCGCAGAAGAAGCCCCGGCUAACUUCGUGCCAGCGGCCGCGGUAAUACGAAGGGGGCUAGCGUUGCUCGGAAUUACUGGGCGUAAAGGGCGCGUAGGCGGGUGUUUAAGUCAGAGGUCAAAUCCCAGAGCUCAACUCUGGAACUGCCUUUGAUACUGGACACCUAGAGUUCGGGAGAGGUGUGUGGAACUCCGAGUGUAGAGGUGAAAUUCGUAGAUAUUCGGAAGAACACCAGUGGCGAAGGCGACACACUGGCCCGAUACUGACGCUGAGGCGCGAAAGCGUGGGGAGCAAACAGGAUUAGGUACCCUGGUAGUCCACGCCGUAAACGAUGAGUGCUAGUUGUCGGCAUGCAUGCAUGUCGGUGACGCAGC